This 402-nucleotide ribosomal RNA is filed under the name Triticum aestivum (bread wheat). RNAcentral describes it as "partial small subunit ribosomal RNA". The record is from RNAcentral. Lineage: Eukaryota; Viridiplantae; Streptophyta; Magnoliopsida; Poales; Poaceae.
ACCAACACUGCUUACCUUCUUUUAUAUGUUGAUGAUAUUAUCCUCACAGCUUCCUCACAACAAUUUUUAGAUCAUAUUAUCUCUCUUCUUCGCCGCGAAUUCUCUAUGACAGAUUUAGGUCUUCUUCACCACUUCUUAGGUAUUGCUGUUAUCCGUGACUCCUCUGGUCUUUUCUUGUCUCAACGUCAGUACACUCUGGAUCUUCUUUUUCGUGCUGGUAUGCUUGAUUGUCAAACUUCCCGUAUCCCUGUUGAUACAGGUUCCAAACUCUCUGCCGAUGGUGAUCCUUUCUCUGAUCCUUCUCUUUAUCGUAGUCUUACCGGUGCACUUCAGUAUCUCACUCUCACUCGUCCUGAAAUUUCUUUGUUGUCCAACAAGCUUGUUUAUACAUGCACGAUCCUC